Molecule: long non-coding RNA, 300 nt
Filed under: Capsella rubella
Lineage: Eukaryota; Viridiplantae; Streptophyta; Magnoliopsida; Brassicales; Brassicaceae
Description: long non-coding RNA (CRUB_LNC001305)
Source: RNAcentral
UUCAUUAUGAUAUUUAUCAUCAAUUCAUCAUCAUGAUCACCAUUAUAUACACUAUCAUCAAUAUUUACACUUUUAAUGCACCAUCUACGUACAUUAUUGGCAUCCAUCAACUUCAUCUUCUGCAACCCUCUUGUUAUUCCUCACUAACUUAUUUAAUCAUCUUCGUUGUUUGCUUCCUCGCCUUCUUCAUUGUCUUCAACAUCUUCCCGCCAUCUACUCGCGUCUUUCUUCAAAGCAUGGAGUAGAAGAAGGGAUUGUGAACCUAAAAGAGACCCCAACAAAAAAAAAACCUUUCUAAAA